RNAcentral lists this small RNA (127 nucleotides) under Marmota monax (woodchuck). Lineage: Eukaryota; Metazoa; Chordata; Mammalia; Rodentia; Sciuridae. The record is from RNAcentral.
GCUGGGUGUAGUGGUCCACACUUGUAAUCCCAGCAAUUUGGGAGGCUGAGGCAGGAGGAUGAGGAAUUCAAAGCCAGCCUUAGCAACUUAGCCAGGCCCUGACCAACUCAGUGAGACCCUGUCUCUA